Molecule: ribosomal RNA, 274 nt
Filed under: uncultured bacterium
Lineage: Bacteria
Description: partial 16S ribosomal RNA
Rfam family: Bacterial small subunit ribosomal RNA
Source: RNAcentral
AUACGGAGGGUGCAAGCGUUGUUCGGAAUUACUGGGCGUAAAGGGCGCGCAGGCGGUUUGGUAAGUCAGAUGUGAAAGUCCAGGGUUUAACCCUGGAAGUGCAUAUGAAACUGUCAGACUAGAGUAUCAGAGGGGAAAGUGGAAUUCCCGGUGUAGAGGUGAAAUUCGUAGAUAUCGGGAGGAAUACCGGUGGCGAAGGCGACUUUCUGGCUGAAUACUGACGCUGAGGCGCGAAAGCGUGGGGAGCAAACAGGAUUAGAAACCCCAGUAGUCC